RNAcentral lists this transfer-messenger RNA (349 nucleotides) under Spirochaetia. RNAcentral's name for it is "f JABEVK01 X1 Standard tmRNA". It matches the Rfam family "transfer-messenger RNA". Rfam says of the family: Bacterial tmRNA, also known as 10Sa RNA or SsrA, is named for its dual tRNA and mRNA-like properties. Lineage: Bacteria; Pseudomonadati; Spirochaetota. The record is from RNAcentral. RNAcentral also lists the same sequence under 1 other name.
GGGGGUGUACCGGUUUCGACUGGUGGAUGUCCGGGUCAGGGGCUGCAGGUGGAGAGUACGUCUCCUAAAACCGUGCAAAAAAACAACUGCAGAAGACAACUUCGCACUAGCUGCCUAACGGCAGCGAGGGACUUGGGAAACGCCGUGCUGAGGGUCCCAUACUCCCACAUAAACCAGCGCUAGCUUACAUCGGUGUUCAGGGCGAUGUGGGGACUAAAUCUUGAACGUGGAAGAGCGUAGGUAGGCCGAAUCGCCAGCGCUUCUUUCGAGAACCAAGUAUUCGGAUAAACCUGUAGAGGCUUCUGGUCCGCCCACUAGGACGGGGGUUCGACUCCCCUCACCUCCAUUU